UACGAAGGGGGCUAGCGUUGCUCGGAAUCACUGGGCGUAAAGGGUGCGUAGGCGGGUCUUUAAGUCAGGGGUGAAAUCCUGGAGCUCAACUCCAGAACUGCCUUUGAUACUGAGGAUCUUGAGUUCGGGAGAGGUGAGUGGAAUUCCCAGUGUAGAGGUGAAAUUCGUAGAUAUUGGGAAGAACACCGGUGGCGAAGGCGGCUCACUGGCUCAUUACUGACGCUCAGGCGCGAUAGCGUGGGGAUCAAACAGG
Molecule: ribosomal RNA, 253 nt
Filed under: uncultured bacterium
Lineage: Bacteria
Description: partial 16S ribosomal RNA
Rfam family: Bacterial small subunit ribosomal RNA
Source: RNAcentral